This 253-nucleotide ribosomal RNA is filed under the name uncultured bacterium. Its description in RNAcentral is "partial 16S ribosomal RNA". It matches the Rfam family "Bacterial small subunit ribosomal RNA", at positions 524 to 776 of the family's 1533-position model. The record is from RNAcentral.
GACGUAGGGGGCUAGCGUUGUCCGGAAUCAUUGGGCGUAAAGCGCGUGUAGGCGGUUCGGUAAGUCCGCUGUGAAAGUCGGGGGCUCAACCCUCGGAAGCCGGUGGAUACUGUCGAGCUAGAGUACGGAAGAGGCGAGUGGAAUUCCUGGUGUAGCGGUGAAAUGCGCAGAUAUCAGGAGGAACACCAAUUGCGAAGGCAGCUCGCUGGGACGUUACUGACGCUGAGACGCGAAAGCGUGGGGAGCAAACAGG